GGAGAAGGGUCCCUUGGGGCAGGGAGGGCGCGAGGGUCCCUCGGCACCCGAGGCCCGGCCCAGCCGGCAGCCGCGCGGGGUCCCGUUGGGGCCCGUCUCAGCGGGGCCCCAGGUGCCACCGCCACCCCCGGCGCAGGGGAGCCAGCGCCAACCGCCGCACCGCCCCGGCCCCCGCCUGUGGCUUCCUGCGCGGCGGCUGCGGCGGCGGCGGCGCCCGGACGGGCGGCUCCCGGGAGCCCCCACGAGGGCCGGCGCCCGUCCGGGCCGGGCCGGCGUAUCCCGCUCCGUCGGCGGCCUCUGGCCGCUUCCCGGAUGGCGGCUCCUCGAGGUCGGCACGGCCGAGGGCGUGGAAAGAACCAGGCCCGUCCCACGAGGGGACAAAAAGAGGCCGAAGGCACCUGCCGAUGGUGCUGGCUCGCACCGGCCGGGAUGCUCGCGUUGCUCUGGUCCUGUCGGUGAAGCGGGAUGCACCCGGGCAGGGCGGGGACAGAUCUACCGGGAGAGCCGGGCCACCAGAGAAGGGCUGCGGUGGUUCUUUCGGUACUUACGUACGUCCUUCCUGUCUUAAAUUUAAUUGCUGGUAACGAGCUGGGUGCUGGAGAGCUACCAUGCCCGAAAUGCAGGAGCGACGGCACUGCCAUAGGCUGCAAAGACUCCUGCCUCCAUACGUUAAGGCACACAGAGACGCUUUUAUAAACAAAAAUCUGGAAUCAUGAAGCAAUAAAAAACAUGGGAUCGCUCUAACAACAGAAAGCACUUGCAAAACAGACAAACAAAAGCUUUAGGUGUUUUUGAGCAAAGUAGUUUGCGUUUGCUGAAGCUCGAGAGCCUGUAGGGCUUUGCUGUCCUGGGUACACCUGCGUCAGAAGUUUUAUUUUUUUCUUAUAUUUUUCUGUGUAUGUCUUUGUGAAUAAUAUCUCAAUCUAGAAAUCUGUCUCUCCUCCAACUGUCUGGGCUGAACUUGCUCUCCCAGAAGACAUCUGCUCCCGAGACUGGCUUUGAAAUGGAGGUUGCUGUCACACUUGGCUUCUGAGAUACCAGUCAGCUUGGGAAGGAACCUCCGUGCCACACCGCUCCUAGCACAGCCCCCUUUUCCUGUGCAGCCUCCUGAGCACUCCCCUGACAGCCGAAUCAGUGAAUCGCUUUGCAUGUUCAACACAUCCUGGUUUUGGGUGACUUCUCUGGUGGAUUAGAACCUUCUCGAGCUCUUCACCACUUAGCGCGUUCUCAAGGCUGGAGUCUGACAUGCUUCUGGUGGUGAAAAACAGCAGCCGUGUGGGACCAGCACUUCCUUCCAGCUGAGCUGACGCCCUAGCUCAUGGUGCCCGUCCCUGCUGUGCUGCAGCAACCCCCGUCAGGGCUCUGCCAGACGUCCUCCCAAGUCACCCAGCUAGCCAUCAACGUCACCUUUAAAGUCCCUGUGUGUUUACAGCUGGCAGGCUGAAGCCACCUCAAAUCUAUACAUACCAAGUGCAGCAAGAAGACCAGGUGCUUAGGACUGUUGGGUGCCCACAGCCUGGGUUAAAAGUGCUCGGCUCCCUGGCCAAAAAAGCAGAGAGCCGCUUGUCUUGGCUUUCCUACCCUUGGAUCCCCCACUGCAGCCUCCUGUGAGGCCGAUCACAACGCGAAAGCCUUCCGGCUGUUGAAAGUUUGGGUGUCCGAGCCUGGUGGAGGACUUGCAGCAUCCCUUCUGCUCCAGCCUCAGCUAUAGCAGCCCAAGUAACGGAAGGCUGGAGAAACGUUGCAAGCCGAGAAGCGGUUCCUGAGGAUGAUAGACGUUUAGCACCUAUUGACGGAAGGUAUGGAGACUCCACGAGGCACCUCAGGCUGGGCUGGGCAGGGGGGAGACUUAGUGCUCUCCCAAAAUAUUCCCUCCCCAUCACCGCGGUUCCUCUGCCUUCCCCUGUAGCUUCUGCUCUUUCCUGUAGGCAUUGCCCUGUCCGUGCAAGGCGAGGGAGAGGAAGUGGCCCUGUAUUAAGUUGACUUCCAAGGAAUUUGGGUGUUACUAAACAGCAAGCAACCGCUAAGCCUCACGCAGUCCGAAGACCAGUGCAUUCCUAUGUCACUCAGCAAAACUUCCUGGAUUCAGGACUGAAUUUGUGAAAUAUAAGAAGCACAAAUCUCAAAAGAACUCUCAGAUUCAUUUUAAAUAUAUAUAUUUAUCUCUGAAACACAGGGGAAGAGAGGGGAGACGACUCACUGUGCAAAAUAUGCUUCAUCUUUGACUAUCAAAGGUGGCAUCAAGAACAGAUGAAGUACGGAGCAAACAGCAAGUACUUCUGAUGCUUAGACAACGGUUAACGUAUUAACUCUCUCAAUCAAAAAUAAGAUCGCGUUGUUAAAAUAGUGUAACCCUCCCAACCCACAUUUCUAAAACGCUUCUCUCUUUGCUAUCCGGACACUGAUUCUUCUACGGCUGUGGUUACACAGACAUGUGGAGGGAGAAGCUAAUCUCGGAUGCGAACAGCACAUCAGUUGGCGGGCAGCUUCUGUAUUUUCUGUAACUAUUUUUUAAAAAUAAAAUGUCUAACAGUAA
Long non-coding RNA from Dromaius novaehollandiae (emu), 2536 nucleotides. RefSeq lists it as uncharacterized. The record is from RefSeq and is a predicted model, not a curated record. NCBI's taxonomy places the organism in Eukaryota, Metazoa, Chordata, Aves, Casuariiformes, Dromaiidae. The transcript has 2 exons.